RNAcentral lists this ribosomal RNA (253 nucleotides) under uncultured bacterium. RNAcentral's name for it is "partial 16S ribosomal RNA". It matches the Rfam family "Bacterial small subunit ribosomal RNA", at positions 524 to 776 of the family's 1533-position model. The record is from RNAcentral.
UACGUAGGGUGCGAGCGUUAAUCGGAAUUACUGGGCGUAAAGCGUGCGCAGGCGGUUUUGUAAGCCAGAUGUGAAAUCCCCGGGCUUAACCUGGGAAUGGCAUUUGGGACUGCAAGGCUCGAGUGCGGCAGAGGAGACUGGAAUUCCUGGUGUAGCAGUGAAAUGCGUAGAUAUCAGGAGGAACACCGAUGGCGGAGGCAGGUCUCUGGGCUGACACUGACGCUCAUGCACGAAAGCGUGGGGAGCAAACAGG